RNAcentral lists this non-coding RNA (203 nucleotides) under Paraclostridium benzoelyticum. Its description in RNAcentral is "Enterococcus sRNA 2410". It matches the Rfam family "Enterococcus sRNA 2410". Rfam says of the family: Produced as 2 transcripts on Northern blot. Expressed in mid, late exponential and early stationary phases of growth. Expression remained uniform under daptomycin exposure. The record is from Rfam by way of RNAcentral. Lineage: Bacteria; Bacillati; Bacillota; Clostridia; Peptostreptococcales; Peptostreptococcaceae.
UUAGCUAUUAUAGUUAAGUUUGUAUUUAUGAUAUAAAUCGAAAAUCAUAGGUACAAACGGAAAAUUGUUUGUAUCUAUGAUGGCUAAAUUUAGCUUGUACUUAGGCCACAUAGAUAUACUAUGUGGCUUUUUUAAUCCUAGGCAAAAAAGGCUGCAUAGUAUCCACUAUGUGGCCUUUUUGCAUAUACUUUAUAAAUUAUUAA